This 219-nucleotide ribosomal RNA is filed under the name uncultured microorganism. Its description in RNAcentral is "partial 16S ribosomal RNA". It matches the Rfam family "Bacterial small subunit ribosomal RNA", at positions 9 to 195 of the family's 1533-position model. The record is from RNAcentral.
GAGUUUGAUCAUGGCUCAGGAUGAACGCUGGCGGCGUGCUUAACACAUGCAAGUCGAACGAAGCGCCUUAUUUGAUUUUCUUCGGAACUGAAGAUUUGGUGACUGAGUGGCGGACGGGUGAGUAACGCGUGGGGUAACCUGCCCCUGUACAGGGGGAGUAAACAAAUCAGAAAAUAGACUGCUAAUAACCGCCAUAAAGACCACAGCACCGCAUAGGUG